GAUUUCCGAAUGGGGAAACCCAGUGUGUUUCGACACACUAUCAUUAACUGAAUCCAUAGGUUAAUGAGGCGAACCGGGGGAACUGAAACAUCUAAGUACCCCGAGGAAAAGAAAUCAACCGAGAUUCCCCCAGUAGCGGCGAGCGAACGGGGAGCAGCCCAGAGCCUGAAUCAGUGUGUGUGUUAGUGGAAGCGUCUGGAAAGGCGCGCGAUACAGGGUGACAGCCCCGUACACAAAAAUGCACAUGCUGUGAGCUCGAUGAGUAGGGCGGGACACGUGGUAUCCUGUCUGAAUAUGGGGGGACCAUCCUCCAAGGCUAAAUACUCCUGACUGACCGAUAGUGAACCAGUACCGUGAGGGAAAGGCGAAAAGAACCCCGGCGAGGGGAGUGAAAAAGAACCUGAAACCGUGUACGUACAAGCAGUGGGAGCACGCUUAGGCGUGUGACUGCGUACCUUUUGUAUAAUGGGUCAGCGACUUAUAUUCUGUAGCAAGGUUAACCGAAUAGGGGAGCCGAAGGGAAACCGAGUCUUAACUGGGCGUUAAGUUGCAGGGUAUAGACCCGAAACCCGGUGAUCUAGCCAUGGGCAGGUUGAAGGUUGGGUAACACUAACUGGAGGACCGAACCGACUAAUGUUGAAAAAUUAGCGGAUGACUUGUGGCUGGGGGUGAAAGGCCAAUCAAACCGGGAGAUAGCUGGUUCUCCCCGAAAGCUAUUUAGGUAGCGCCUCGUGAAUUCAUCUCCGGGGGUAGAGCACUGUUUCGGCAAGGGGGUCAUCCCGACUUACCAACCCGAUGCAAACUGCGAAUACCGGAGAAUGUUAUCACGGGAGACACACGGCGGGUGCUAACGUCCGUCGUGAAGAGGGAAACAACCCAGACCGCCAGCUAAGGUCCCAAAGUCAUGGUUAAGUGGGAAACGAUGUGGGAAGGCCCAGACAGCCAGGAUGUUGGCUUAGAAGCAGCCAUCAUUUAAAGAAAGCGUAAUAGCUCACUGGUCGAGUCGGCCUGCGCGGAAGAUGUAACGGGGCUAAACCAUGCACCGAAGCUGCGGCAGCGACGCUGAUGCGUUGUUGGGUAGGGGAGCGUUCUGUAAGCCUGCGAAGGUGUGCUGUGAGGCAUGCUGGAGGUAUCAGAAGUGCGAAUGCUGACAUAAGUAACGAUAAAGCGGGUGAAAAGCCCGCUCGCCGGAAGACCAAGGGUUCCUGUCCAACGUUAAUCGGGGCAGGGUGAGUCGACCCCUAAGGCGAGGCCGAAAGGCGUAGUCGAUGGGAAACAGGUUAAUAUUCCUGUACUUGGUGUUACUGCGAAGGGGGGACGGAGAAGGCUAUGUUGGCCGGGCGACGGUUGUCCCGGUUUAAGCGUGUAGGCUGGUUUUCCAGGCAAAUCCGGAAAAUCAAGGCUGAGGCGUGAUGACGAGGCACUACGGUGCUGAAGCAACAAAUGCCCUGCUUCCAGGAAAAGCCUCUAAGCAUCAGGUAACAUCAAAUCGUACCCCAAACCGACACAGGUGGUCAGGUAGAGAAUACCAAGGCGCUUGAGAGAACUCGGGUGAAGGAACUAGGCAAAAUGGUGCCGUAACUUCGGGAGAAGGCACGCUGAUAUGUAGGUGAAGUCCCUCGCGGAUGGAGCUGAAAUCAGUCGAAGAUACCAGCUGGCUGCAACUGUUUAUUAAAAACACAGCACUGUGCAAACACGAAAGUGGACGUAUACGGUGUGACGCCUGCCCGGUGCCGGAAGGUUAAUUGAUGGGGUUAGCGCAAGCGAAGCUCUUGAUCGAAGCCCCGGUAAACGGCGGCCGUAACUAUAACGGUCCUAAGGUAGCGAAAUUCCUUGUCGGGUAAGUUCCGACCUGCACGAAUGGCGUAAUGAUGGCCAGGCUGUCUCCACCCGAGACUCAGUGAAAUUGAACUCGCUGUGAAGAUGCAGUGUACCCGCGGCAAGACGGAAAGACCCCGUGAACCUUUACUAUAGCUUGACACUGAACAUUGAGCCUUGAUGUGUAGGAUAGGUGGGAGGCUUAGAAGUGUGGACGCCAGUCUGCAUGGAGCCGACCUUGAAAUACCACCCUUUAAUGUUUGAUGUUCUAACGUUGACCCGUAAUCCGGGUUGCGGACAGUGUCUGGUGGGUAGUUUGACUGGGGCGGUCUCCUCCUAAAGAGUAACGGAGGAGCACGAAGGUUGGCUAAUCCUGGUCGGACAUCAGGAGGUUAGUGCAAUGGCAUAAGCCAGCUUGACUGCGAGCGUGACGGCGCGAGCAGGUGCGAAAGCAGGUCAUAGUGAUCCGGUGGUUCUGAAUGGAAGGGCCAUCGCUCAACGGAUAAAAGGUACUCCGGGGAUAACAGGCUGAUACCGCCCAAGAGUUCAUAUCGACGGCGGUGUUUGGCACCUCGAUGUCGGCUCAUCACAUCCUGGGGCUGAAGUAGGUCCCAAGGGUAUGGCUGUUCGCCAUUUAAAGUGGUACGCGAGCUGGGUUUAGAACGUCGUGAGACAGUUCGGUCCCUAUCUGCCGUGGGCGCUGGAGAACUGAGGGGGGCUGCUCCUAGUACGAGAGGACCGGAGUGGACGCAUCACUGGUGUUCGGGUUGUCAUGCCAAUGGCACUGCCCGGUAGCUAAAUGCGGAAGAGAUAAGUGCUGAAAGCAUCUAAGCACGAAACUUGCCCCGAGAUGAGUUCUCCCUGACCCUUUAAGGGUCCUGAAGGAACGUUGAAGACGACGACGUUGAUAGGCCGGGUGUGUAAGCGCAGCGAUGCGUUGAGCUAACCGGUACUAAUGAACCGUGAGGCUUAACCU
Molecule: ribosomal RNA, 2794 nt
Filed under: Escherichia coli 4-203-08_S3_C1
Lineage: Bacteria; Pseudomonadati; Pseudomonadota; Gammaproteobacteria; Enterobacterales; Enterobacteriaceae
Description: bacterial LSU rRNA
Rfam family: Bacterial large subunit ribosomal RNA
Source: RNAcentral